Cicer arietinum (chickpea) is the source of this 883-nucleotide long non-coding RNA. RefSeq lists it as uncharacterized. The record is from RefSeq and is a predicted model, not a curated record. Lineage: Eukaryota; Viridiplantae; Streptophyta; Magnoliopsida; Fabales; Fabaceae.
UUUCUCCAUCUAUUUUGUCAUAUCUCACAUCACACCCUAUCCUAGCUAGCUAACUAGCUAUUUCGUGUAAAAAUAAUCUUGAACUACAAUCCACAUAGAGUCUUAUCUAGAUAAACAAGAGAGUUUCUAUUUUUGCUCAAUACAUUUAUUAUUUUAGUAUUACCCUGUAACAUGGAAAACUUGUUUCUGUAACCAAAUACAUUUAUUUGAGUGAGGCUAGAGACAAGAGAUUUAUAUGUUCCUUCCUUGUCUUAUGUUUUAAGUUUUUCGUAGUUUCUUCGGUUAGCUACAUAUGGCUUCUCAUAAUCUUGGAAUGGUGGGGUAAUAAUGAAAAGAGGAUUGAAGGGGCUCACUUCAGUCCAGUUCGAGGCGGUAGAAGAUGAUUGAAAUUCAGCUGCUGACUCGUUGAUUCAAGAGUUCAUCAUUUAAAUACGAUGUGUUUCUGAACCAACGAUGCAGGAGCUGCAUUCAAUUGUCACUGUCACGUCUUGGACUGAAGGGGCCUCUUCAUCUCCGGUAUAUCAAAACAUCUCUCCCAUUACAACAAGAAGGAAAUUCAUAUGGCUGUUGGGCGAAUGAGAGAAGCUAGUUGCAGCAGUAUCUCACUUUCAACUAGCUAAUACACUUUUUUUUAAAAGUCAAUUUGGUAAAUUUAAUUAGACAAUAUGUAUGUAUAUAUAUAUAUAUAUAUUUUUUUUUUUUCUUACAGAAAUGUCAAGAUAUAUUGUAAUUUUUGUUUAACAAAAGAAAAAAAGAAAUGUAGGGUGAGGAAUGAUGUUUCGGGGGAAUGGAUCCAAAUAUUGGAAAUCUGUGUCGUGCAUUCUGAUUUUAUAUUAGGAAAAUGCUAAAAUUUACUAAUAAAGUACUCCCUCUUUUAAUUAAA